CACCGGCGGCUCGAGUGGUAACCGUUAUUAUUGGGUCUAAAGGGUCUGUAGCCGGCCGGAUAAGUCUCUUGAGAAAUCUGGCAGCUUAACUGUCAGGCUUUCAGGAGAUACUGUCUGGCUCGAGGCCGGGAGAGGUGAGAGGUACUUCAGGGGUAGGGGUGAAAUCUUGUAAUCCUUGAAGGACCACCAGUGGCGAAGGCGUCUCACCAGAACGGACCUGACGGCAAGGGACGAAAGCUAGGGGCACGAACCGGAUUAGAUACCCCGGUAGUCCCUGAGCGGGCU
RNAcentral lists this ribosomal RNA (285 nucleotides) under uncultured prokaryote. RNAcentral describes it as "partial 16S ribosomal RNA". It matches the Rfam family "Archaeal small subunit ribosomal RNA", at positions 474 to 756 of the family's 1478-position model. The record is from RNAcentral.